CGAUUCCCACCUUCGACAUUUAAC
This 24-nucleotide microRNA is filed under the name Ananas comosus (pineapple). Its description in RNAcentral is "microRNA s0337_c11a". Lineage: Eukaryota; Viridiplantae; Streptophyta; Magnoliopsida; Poales; Bromeliaceae. The record is from RNAcentral.